Molecule: non-coding RNA, 45 nt
Filed under: Schistosoma bovis
Lineage: Eukaryota; Metazoa; Platyhelminthes; Trematoda; Strigeidida; Schistosomatidae
Also listed under: 1 other name
Source: RNAcentral
AUUAGACUGAUGAGUCCCAAACAGGACGAAACCGGAGUCUUGGAU